UAGGGAAUCUUCCACAAUGGGCGAAAGCCUGAUGGAGCAACGCCGCGUGUGUGAUGAAGGGUUUACGGCUCGUAAAACACUGUUGUAAGAGAAGAAUGACAUUGAGAGUAACUGUUCAAUGUGUGACGGUAUCUUACCAGAAAGGAACGGCUAAAUACGUGCCAC
This 165-nucleotide ribosomal RNA is filed under the name uncultured bacterium. Its description in RNAcentral is "partial 16S rRNA". It matches the Rfam family "Bacterial small subunit ribosomal RNA", at positions 355 to 511 of the family's 1533-position model. The record is from RNAcentral.